RNAcentral lists this ribosomal RNA (699 nucleotides) under uncultured bacterium. Its description in RNAcentral is "bacterial SSU rRNA". It matches the Rfam family "Bacterial small subunit ribosomal RNA", at positions 140 to 826 of the family's 1533-position model. The record is from RNAcentral.
GGGAUACACCCUGGAAACAGAUGCUAAUACCGGAUAACAACACUAGACGCAUGUCUAGAGUUUGAAAGAUGGUUCUGCUAUCACUCUUGGAUGGACCUGCGGUGCAUUAGCUAGUUGGUAAGGUAACGGCUUACCAAGGCAAUGAUGCAUAGCCGAGUUGAGAGACUGAUCGGCCACAUUGGGACUGAGACACGGCCCAAACUCCUACGGGAGGCAGCAGUAGGGAAUCUUCCACAAUGGACGAAAGUCUGAUGGAGCAACGCCGCGUGAGUGAAGAAGGGUCUCGGCUCGUAAAGCUCUGUUGGUAGUGAAGAAAGAUAGAGGUAGUAACUGGCCUUUAUUUGACGGUAAUUACUUAGAAAGUCACGGCUAACUACGUGCCAGCAGCCGCGGUAAUACGUAGGUGGCAAGCGUUGUCCGGAUUUAUUGGGCGUAAAGCGAGUGCAGGCGGUUCAAUAAGUCUGAUGUGAAAGCCUUCGGCUCAACCGGAGAAUUGCAUCAGAAACUGUUGAACUUGAGUGCAGAAGAGGAGAGUGGAACUCCAUGUGUAGCGGUGGAAUGCGUAGAUAUAUGGAAGAACACCAGUGGCGAAGGCGGCUCUCUGGUCUGCAACUGACGCUGAGGCUCGAAAGCAUGGGUAGCGAACAGGAUUAGAUACCCUGGUAGUCCAUGCCGUAAACGAUGAGUGAUAAGUGUUGG